GGCAGCACAGAGUCUCUCUGAAUCUAUUCCGAUUCUGGGGGCUGCCCAAUUUGCAAAUCAUUCCCCAACAGAUGGUAUCAGAAGUGGGACCAGAAGUGGGGCAUCUAGCAACCCCCAGGAGCACUGAGUGACCAGGCAUGGGACCCACCGCGGGUCCAGGGUGUCCAUUGUUCUCUCGAAGCAACUGGGAAUUGUGGAUAAAUUGGUCCUGCGAAGAUUAUCUUUGAUGAAAAUGGAGAAUUGGAAAAAGAAAAAAGGAAGCAUGUGACAGCUUCGCUUGGGCAUAUCAGAAUUGCCAGCAUCACUACUCUUGCACUUUGGGGCCAUUAUUAAGUGAAAUAAGGAUUACUUGAACACAAGCACUGCGAUACUGCUACAGUCAAUGUGAUAAUGCAGCUGGUGACUAAGUGACCAAGGAUGGGGAGCUUCUACAGCGGGGAGACUCUGGAAAAAGGGAGGAUUCACAUCCAGUGGCAUUGGGACAGGACAGAGUGAGAGUUCAUCAUGCUACACAGAACAGCAUACAAUGUAUCCUCCUCUCACCUUCAGUGCCCAGAUGCAGGAGGUAACUCCCUGGUGAGGAAGACCUAAGUAUACGGCCAUAGAUUCAUAAGGAAAAUGGAGAGAAAAGUGCUUUUACCAGUGAUAAAUUUGAGAAAAUCUUUCAGAUGAGAUACUCUAAGUUUAUUUGCUUGUGUUGUUUUUGUUUCUGUGUUUGGUAACAUGAUUCCCCUCCCUGACCCAUGAUUACUUUAUAAAACUUAAUGUGCCAGUCAGGCAUGGUGGUGCAUGACUGUAAUUCAGUUAUUCCAGAGGCUGAGUCAGGAGGAUGACUUGAGCCCAGUAGUUUGAGGGUGCAGUGAACUAUGAUUGCACCACUGCACCCCUCAGUCCAUGAAGCAUUAUAAAUGCCAUCCUAAAAUGACCAGAAAUGUACUUAUGGCAUGUUUUAUUCAGUCCAAAAAAAAAAAAAAAAAACCGCCAAGCACAUUUAAUUGACUACUGAUGAUACUAUAAUGUUUUUAACAGGUAAGACCACACAGAAUAGUAAUAAGUUCUGUCUUUUCCAAAUCAUGUAAAAUCUCAGAAAUAGGCUUUCCUCCAAAUA
Long non-coding RNA from Cercocebus atys (sooty mangabey), 1108 nucleotides. RefSeq lists it as uncharacterized. The transcript has 4 exons. The record is from RefSeq and is a predicted model, not a curated record. Lineage: Eukaryota; Metazoa; Chordata; Mammalia; Primates; Cercopithecidae.